AUCCUGGCUCAGAGCGAACGUUAGCGGCAGGCUUAACACAUGCAAGUCGAGCGAGAAAGGGGCUUCGGCUCCGAGUAAAAGCGGCGGACGGGUGCGUAACACGUGGAUGACCUACCCCUUGGUUCGGGACAACAGCGGGAAACUGCUGCUAAUACCGGAUGUGUCGUAGCAAUACGAGAAAGGCCCGCAAGGGGUCGCCAGAGGACGGGUCCGCGUCCCAUCAGCUAGUUGGUGAGGUAAUGGCUCACCAAGGCGAAGACGGGUAGCUGGUCUGAGAGGAUGAUCAGCCACACUGGAACUGAGACACGGUCCAGACUCCUACGGGAGGCAGCAGUGGGGAAUAUUGCGCAAUGGGCGAAAGCCUGACGCAGCCACGCCGCGUGAGCGAUGAAGGUCUUCGGAUCGUAAAGCUCUGUGGGGGGAGAAGAAGAAAGUCGGUGAAGAGCCGGCCCUGACGGUAUCCCCUUAGCAAGCACCGGCUAACUCCGUGCCAGCAGCCGCGGUAAUACGGAGGGUGACG
RNAcentral lists this ribosomal RNA (520 nucleotides) under uncultured bacterium. Its description in RNAcentral is "bacterial SSU rRNA". It matches the Rfam family "Bacterial small subunit ribosomal RNA", at positions 16 to 536 of the family's 1533-position model. The record is from RNAcentral.